GGUCAGGACCAGCUCUGACGCGCCCUUUUCUUUGAUUCUUGUGUUAUUUUCCAUCCAAUCUAUUACUUUUGCGGAACAAAACUUCUUUGCAAAGUGGUUCAAACCAGAGGUUGACCCCGCUGCUGAUUGUUAGGGCAGGUUCCUGAUGUGAAACCGCUUUCUAGUUAGCAUUGGGAAGGAGGCGCUUUGUCCAGCCUCAUGAGGACUCGAAACGUCAACUCUUCUUCUCCGCCGAUGCUGCCAGACCUGCUGAGUUUUUCCAGGACAAUGAAAUUUUCUGUAAUCUCUACCUGGCGGAUCCUGACUGGCUGCUGCGCCGAACGUGAGGGUAACAAACAAGAUGAGUAUCAGUGAAUGUAUGCAGGUCAUUGGACCCCAGGAGUGACCAUGGAAACGGUGCUGAAUAUCUUGAGUAAGACUAGAUUCUAUCCAUCUUGAAUGUGGAAGAAGCUGAAAACCAGGAAUGCUGGGGACAGGUGCACUUUGGGAGAGGGAGAACAUUUGUUGAAGAUGGCCUGAGUAAUUGUGAGUCGAUGAAGCAUCUGAAAGUUUUUUUGAGGAUAGUUGGACAUGGAAUGCUGAAGAUUAGCACUUGAGACAAUGUUCCUUGUACAUUGAGUAAGACAAUUCUAUCCAUCCUGAAUGUCGGAGAGGUUUGAACACCAGGAAUGCUGCGAACAGGUGCACUUUGGGAGAGAUACUACGGUGCUCCUCCAACUGCAGUGCAACAAGACUGCUGUACCCUACUUCAGAUGAGCUUCCUUUUGAGUUCAGAUGUGUUUAUAAUUUGUUCAUUGUUGUAGGUUACUAUAAAUUUUGGACAUAUUAAGAUGAGUUGCAAUCAGUUUUGAAAUUUAUGCUAAUCAACCAUUUGUAAUAUGCCUGUAAAUUUUCACAUCUUUAAAUAAAGUUAACUUCAAGCAUUA
Long non-coding RNA from Carcharodon carcharias (great white shark), 926 nucleotides. RefSeq lists it as uncharacterized. The record is from RefSeq and is a predicted model, not a curated record. The transcript is spliced from 7 exons. Lineage: Eukaryota; Metazoa; Chordata; Chondrichthyes; Lamniformes; Lamnidae.